RNAcentral lists this ribosomal RNA (468 nucleotides) under uncultured bacterium. Its description in RNAcentral is "partial 16S ribosomal RNA". It matches the Rfam family "Bacterial small subunit ribosomal RNA", at positions 28 to 507 of the family's 1533-position model. The record is from RNAcentral.
GACGAACGCUGGCGGCGUGCUUAACACAUGCAAGUCGAACGGAAAGGCCCUGCUUUUGUGGGGUGCUCGAGUGGCGAACGGGUGAGUAACACGUGAGUAACCUGCCCUUGACUUUGGGAUAACUUCAGGAAACGGGGGCUAAUACCGGAUAGGAGCUCCUGCUGCAUGGUGGGGGUUGGAGAGUUUCGGCGGUUGGGGAUGGACUCGCGGCGGAUGAGCUUGUGGGUGGGGUAGUGGCUUACCACGGCUUUGACGGGUAGCCCGCCUGAGCGGGUGACGGGCCACAUUGGGACUGAGAUACGGCCCAGACUCCUACGGGAGGCAGCAGUGGGGAAUAUUGCACAAUGGGCGGAAGCCUGAUGCAGCAGCGCCGCGUGCGGGAUGACGGCCUUCGGGUUGUAAACCGCUUUCGCCUGUGACGAAGCGUGAGUGACGGUAAUGGGUAAAGAAGCACCGGCUAACUACGUG